AUUCUAUGGUCUUAUGAACAAUGGCCAAAACUGUAGUGAACCUAUGGUUAUAAAUCAUCAAAUUGACGGGAAACCCCUAAAGAAAUCUUAACUAAGUAAGUAUGGUAACAUAACUUAUGGCACAGGUAAUGACUCGUGGUAUAGUAAAAUCAAGAUUUAUAGUUUAAUGGGCAAUCCGCAGCCAAGUACCAAAUAUAAAAUAUUUGGUAUGCAGUUCAUCGACUAAACGGUGGUUGGUAUUGUUAUUAUUAAUAAUGCUUAAGAUAUAGUCAGACCCCUCCUGAAAAGGUGCA
Pyrenophora tritici-repentis Pt-1C-BFP is the source of this 293-nucleotide intron RNA. It matches the Rfam family "Group I catalytic intron". Rfam says of the family: Group I catalytic introns are large self-splicing ribozymes. They catalyse their own excision from mRNA, tRNA and rRNA precursors in a wide range of organisms. NCBI's taxonomy places the organism in Eukaryota, Fungi, Ascomycota, Dothideomycetes, Pleosporales, Pleosporaceae. The record is from Rfam.